RNAcentral lists this transfer RNA (74 nucleotides) under Bacteroidaceae bacterium. RNAcentral's name for it is "tRNA-Pro". It matches the Rfam family "tRNA". From Rfam's summary of the family: Transfer RNA (tRNA) molecules are approximately 80 nucleotides in length. Their secondary structure includes four short double-helical elements and three loops (D, anti-codon, and T loops). Further hydrogen bonds mediate the characteristic L-shaped molecular structure. tRNAs have two regions of fundamental functional importance: the anti-codon, which is responsible for specific mRNA codon recognition, and the 3' end, to which the tRNAs corresponding amino acid is attached (by aminoacyl-tRNA synthetases). tRNAs cope with the degeneracy of the genetic code in two manners: having more than one tRNA (with a specific anti-codon) for a particular amino acid; and 'wobble' base-pairing, i.e. permitting non-standard base-pairing at the 3rd anti-codon position. The record is from RNAcentral. Lineage: Bacteria; Pseudomonadati; Bacteroidota; Bacteroidia; Bacteroidales; Bacteroidaceae.
CGGGAUGUAGCUCAGCCCGGGAGAGUACGCGUCUGGGGGGCGUGUGGUCGCAAGUUCGAAUCUUGUCAUCCCGA